CCCGUGAUAGCUCAGUUGGUAGAGCGGAGGACUGUAGUGGUUGCAAUGCACAGGCAUCCUUAGGUCGGCGGUUCGACUCCGUCUCGCGGGA
This 91-nucleotide transfer RNA is filed under the name Capitella teleta. RNAcentral describes it as "tRNA-Tyr for anticodon GUA". It matches the Rfam family "tRNA". From Rfam's summary of the family: Transfer RNA (tRNA) molecules are approximately 80 nucleotides in length. Their secondary structure includes four short double-helical elements and three loops (D, anti-codon, and T loops). The record is from Rfam by way of RNAcentral. Lineage: Eukaryota; Metazoa; Annelida; Polychaeta; Capitellidae.